This 159-nucleotide microRNA precursor is filed under the name Pelobates cultripes (western spadefoot toad). Lineage: Eukaryota; Metazoa; Chordata; Amphibia; Anura; Pelobatidae. The record is from RNAcentral.
CAGCAGACACAUUCCAGCCAAUCAGCAGACCCUCCCUCCCAGACCCUCCCACCUCCUGGACAGCUCACUAAGAAUGCAGCUUCAAAAUGGAUGCUGUCCAGGAGGUGGGAGGGCCUGGGAGGGAGGGUCUGCUGCUGAUUGGCUGGAAUGUGUCUGCUG